GAUGAAGAACGUAGCGAAAUGCGAUAAGUAAUGUGAAUUGCAGAAUUCAGUGAAUCAUCGAAUCUUUGAACGCACAUUGCGCCCCUUGGUAUUCCGAGGGGCAUGCCUGUUCGAGCGUCAUUAUAACCCCUCAAGCUCAGCUUGGUGUUGGGGCCUGCUGCACUGGCAGCCCUUAAAAUCAGUGGCGGCGCCAUCUGGCUCUAAGCGUAGUAAUUCUUCUCGCUAUGGAGUCCUGGUGGAUGCUUGCCAUCAACCCCCAAUUUUUCUAUGGUUGACCUCGGAUCAGGGAGGGAUACCCGCUGAACUUAAGCAUAUCAAUAAGCGGAGGA
This 329-nucleotide unclassified non-coding RNA is filed under the name soil metagenome. RNAcentral describes it as "partial contains 5.8S ribosomal RNA, internal transcribed spacer 2, and large subunit ribosomal RNA". The stretch from base 1 to 120 matches the Rfam family "5.8S ribosomal RNA", at positions 35 to 154 of the family's 154-position model. The record is from RNAcentral.